CUGGUCGAGUGAUCCUGCGCCGAAGAUUUCCGGGGCUAAAACUUACUACCGAAGCUACGGCAUCAUUAUGAUGGGUAGGGGAGCUUCCCAUACGGGUUGACGCAUGACCGUAAGGACAUGUGGACAGCAUGGGAGUGAGAAUGUUGGCAUGAGUAGCGAGAUGUGGGUGAGAAUCCCACAGGCCGUAAACCCAAGGUUUCCAGGGGAAGGUUCGUCCGCCCUGGG
Molecule: ribosomal RNA, 225 nt
Filed under: Clostridioides difficile
Lineage: Bacteria; Bacillati; Bacillota; Clostridia; Peptostreptococcales; Peptostreptococcaceae
Description: partial 23S ribosomal RNA
Rfam family: Bacterial large subunit ribosomal RNA
Source: RNAcentral